Gossypium raimondii (Peruvian cotton) is the source of this 106-nucleotide small nucleolar RNA. It matches the Rfam family "Plant small nucleolar RNA R71". Rfam says of the family: R71 is a member of the C/D box family of snoRNAs containing the C (UGAUGA) and D (CUGA) box motifs. Multiple nearly identical copies of this snoRNA have been identified in Arabidopsis, and it is thought to function as a 2'-O-ribose methylation guide for 18S ribosomal RNA. The record is from Rfam. Lineage: Eukaryota; Viridiplantae; Streptophyta; Magnoliopsida; Malvales; Malvaceae.
AAUCCAUGGUGCAGACAUUUUUGAAUCAAAAUUUUGAAAUGUUCCCACACCUUAUAGAAGCUUUUCCCUUCCAUUUUUCUAAAGACAACAAUCUCUCUUCUUAAUU